This 482-nucleotide ribosomal RNA is filed under the name uncultured bacterium. RNAcentral describes it as "partial 16S ribosomal RNA". It matches the Rfam family "Bacterial small subunit ribosomal RNA", at positions 28 to 523 of the family's 1533-position model. The record is from RNAcentral.
AGUGAACGUUGGCGGCGUGGAUUAGGCAUGCAAGUCGAGCGAGAACCGUAGCAAUACGGGGACAGCGGCGAAAGGGACAGUAAUGUGUAGGUACCUACCUCCGGGUUCGGGAUAGCUGCGGGAAACUGCAGGUAAUACCGAAUAACGUCUCCGGACCAAAGGUGUGAUUCCACCUGGAGAGGGGCCUGCAUCCUAUUAGCUUGUUGGCGGGGUAACGGCCCACCAAGGCGACGAUGGGUAGCGGGUGUGAGAGCACGACCCGCGCCAUUGGGACUGGGACACUGCCCAGACACCUACGGGUGGCUGCAGUCGUGAAUCUUCGGCAAUGGGCGCAAGCCUGACCGAGCGACGCCGCGUGCGGGAUGAAGGCCUUCGGGUUGUAAACCGCUGUCGUAGAGGAGGAAAUGCAGGGGGGUUCUCCCCUCUGUUUGACCUAUUCUAGGAGGAAGUACGGGCUAAGUUCGUGCCAGCAGCCGCAGUAA